GGGCUUUUAGUUUUGAAAUACCGUGAAUAUACUCGAGAAGUAAGACGCUUUUUAAAUGAGAAUUAUCACCGCUGGAUCGGUCGCGAUGGGUCAUGUCAGAUCGAUUGUGUGUAAUGAUAACAUAACGAGCGUUGUACAAUUAAAACAAACAAUUAUUAUAGCGUUUAAAUAAUUAAAAUUGCAUAAGGAUACAUUAGAAAACGCUUAGUGUAAUUUAAUAAAAAGAGCACAGUUAUGUUUGCAACAACGUGGACAUUACUUCCAACAGUUUAUAAAUUAGACGAAUUCUUGAAAAAUCAUUGUACGCCGAGGGUAUCACGUUUUCGGGUUUGCAACGAGAAGAAUGAGAAAACGAUCCAGGGAAAGAUGCAAUUCCAUUUAUUAGUCAUCGAAGGAAGCAAAUACAUCGCUUACGCUUAUAAUUUACGCUCGCUUCUUUAAUAAAUAAUAAUUUAUGUACUCUACGAGACGUGGAAAGCCUGUAUAAUAACACUGGGCCGCUAAGACAGCGAUAUAAUUACGCUACCUUGAUAAAAAUCCAUUAACGGCGGAGGUAUUUUAUUAUCCUAUUCGAAGUGUCCCGUUAUGUAGACGAACAACGAAAUUUAUACAGUGUUGCUAGCUGCUUAUUAUUUACGCCGACGCAGUCGAUUAGUCUGUAACGCGUGGAACGCGUUUCUUGUACCUACGUAUUGCGUCAUCGAGCUAACAAAUACAGAUAAAGUAAUAGUCGCUUACGAUCGUUAAUGGACCCAUCUCAGAAGGAUAAACCUGGGUAACGUUUCGCUUUGAGUAUUUUCGUGCAUGGGGACGGUUUAGAAGGAUUUAAGGGGAGGAUGGGGACAUUGAAGUGUUAUCCACUCCUCGGAAUACCUGAAGAUAGGAAGUGAGGAAAUUACACCGCUUAAAGGUCGUCGUAUACUUAAUCCUUUGCAUUUGAGAGAUGAUUCUUAGUCAUCAUUUGAUUUGAUACGGUAAAAUCGUAAAGUUUAAUAUUUAAUAUUGAAGUUUAAUAUUGAAGUAUUCAGAUAAAAUAGUUUUAUUUCUUAAUUUAUGUGUAAACUAUUGUUAAAUUAAUUUCAACAAACAUCGUCUGUUUCUCGACAGAAGAUGUUGAAUAUUUCUAGCGAAAAACU
This is a long non-coding RNA of Nomia melanderi (Alkali bee), 1136 nucleotides long. RefSeq lists it as uncharacterized. Lineage: Eukaryota; Metazoa; Arthropoda; Insecta; Hymenoptera; Halictidae. The record is from RefSeq and is a predicted model, not a curated record.